UACGUAGGGUGCAAGCGUUAAUCGGAAUUACUUGGCGUAAAGCGUGCGCAGGCGGUGAUGUAAGACAGAUGUGAAAUCCCCGGGCUCAACCUGGGAACUGCAUUUGUGACUGCAUCGCUGGAGUACGGCAGAGGGGGAUGGAAUUCCGCGUGUAGCAGUGAAAUGCGUAGAUAUGCGGAGGAACACCGAUGGCGAAGGCAAUCCCCUGGGCCUGUACUGACGCUCAUGCACGAAAGCGUGGGGAGCAAACAGG
This 253-nucleotide ribosomal RNA is filed under the name uncultured bacterium. RNAcentral describes it as "partial 16S ribosomal RNA". It matches the Rfam family "Bacterial small subunit ribosomal RNA", at positions 524 to 776 of the family's 1533-position model. The record is from RNAcentral.